This is a regulatory RNA element of Prevotella sp. CAG:1124, 74 nucleotides long. It matches the Rfam family "L13-Bacteroidia ribosomal protein leader". Lineage: Bacteria; Pseudomonadati; Bacteroidota; Bacteroidia; Bacteroidales; Prevotellaceae. The record is from Rfam.
GGGGGUAUGCUUAGAGCCCCCAGAACGGAGUGUUAAUAGUUGCGCUUUUGGCCGAGCGUAGCGGUUAGUGAAUC